Long non-coding RNA from Magnolia sinica, 1018 nucleotides. RefSeq lists it as uncharacterized. The transcript has 2 exons. NCBI's taxonomy places the organism in Eukaryota, Viridiplantae, Streptophyta, Magnoliopsida, Magnoliales, Magnoliaceae. The record is from RefSeq and is a predicted model, not a curated record.
AUAUCCAUGCCUACUGUACAACCAUUGUUGAGUGCAUAUAAAGCACACGUGCUGCUAGUAUCAAAGUGUUUUAUUUAUUUAUUUAUUUUUUCCCCUUAAAUAGGCUAACAUUACAGGAGUGGUUUGCUAAGUCCAUACAUGUGUAUGAGCCGCUUCAUGUAAACGCCACAUCAUGUGCCAACUUGUUAUACGUGUAAGAAGCUGUAUAUCAUGUAGAUCCCACCAUCUACAUCCCAUGGACAAGAUGUUAGGCUGUGCCAAUUUUCUGGUGGGCCACAAUGUUGUCAAACCUCUUAGUAAGACUUGACUAGAUUGAUGAGCUGAUGGCUGGAGUUUGUGCCAUAGCAUCAAACUAAUGUAAAGAACCUGAUAGACAGCCCGGAUCUCACAGUAUAUGCGACGAUGGCACAGUUGUUGGCAUGUGGCUGAGAUGCCUUAUAGAUGGAUGUUGGCUUUCAUGACAAAAUAUGUUUUUGGUCUUCUGCUGUCUCUUUCAUGCUUCAGUUCUAACUGGCGUUUAUAGGAACUGCUACUCGAUCUUUUACUCAUCUUCAAUCCACAGCUGUUGACGGAUUGGAUACAAACGACAUUACAAUAUAAGCAGUCUGUAUUGUUUCAUGUCUGUGACCCUACAUUUCUUUCUCGUCCUCUUGGGCCUACAUGUAAUAACUGGGCUUUGGGGUCAUUAGUGGGAGGAACUCUAUUGGCAUGUGAGUGGUGUCAAUGCAAACUUCUUCAUGGACAGUUGGAAGAGCCCGGGUAGAGGAGGAAGGUGGGCAGCCAAUCGUGAUAAGUUUGCCGGUGUACCAUUUCAAAGCCAACUGAAGCUGUUGGGAGAGUGACUAAGAUGAUGAUGGUGAUGACACAAUUUAAAAUAGGAAUAUUCAAGAAUGCAGCAGUAAAUAAUACAACUUUUACUGUUUGGUACAUGUAAUUUAUGAUUUAUUGUGGAGUAUUUUGAGUGCACUAAUGUUUUCUUGAAAUUAGAAUAAAAUGUUUGUGAAACUCUUCUGGGACU